Non-coding RNA from Camellia sinensis, 223 nucleotides. Lineage: Eukaryota; Viridiplantae; Streptophyta; Magnoliopsida; Ericales; Theaceae. The record is from RefSeq and is a predicted model, not a curated record.
UCAUUGUCUGCACAGGUGCAUGACUUGCUGAAACUGUAUCAUGGAAUUGACGUCCCUCCAGAACGAUUGUUAUUUAAAAUUCCUUCAACUUGGCAAGGAAUAGAGGCAUCAAGAGUAUUGGAAUCUGAAGGCAUACAGACACACUUGACUUUAUUUACAGCUUUGGCCAAGCUGCGGCUGUAGCUCAAGCCGGUGCUUCUAUUAUUCAAAUUUUUGUUGGUCG